CAGGCCUAACACAUGCAAGUCGAGCGGAAACGACAACAUUGACCCUUCGGGUGAUUUGUUGGGCGUCGAGCGGCGGACGGGUGAGUAAUGCCUGGGAAAUUGCCCUGAUGUGGGGGAUAACCAUUGGAAACGAUGGCUAAUACCGCAUAAUGUCUACGGACCAAAGAGGGGGACCUUCGGGCCUCUCGCUUCAGGAUAUGCCCAGGUGGGAUUAGCUAGUUGGUGAGGUAAUGGCUCACCAAGGCGACGAUCCCUAGCUGGUCUGAGAGGAUGAUCAGCCACACUGGAACUGAGACACGGUCCAGACUCCUACGGGAGGCAGCAGUGGGGAAUAUUGCACAAUGGGCGCAAGCCUGAUGCAGCCAUGCCGCGUGUAUGAAGAAGGCCUUCGGGUUGUAAAGUACUUUCAGUCGUGAGGAAGGCGUUGGAGUUAAUAGCUGCUAUUGUUUGACGUUAGCGACAGAAGAAGCACCGGCUAACUCCGUGCCAGCAGCCGCGGUAAUACGGAGGGUGCGAGCGUUAAUCGGA
This 528-nucleotide ribosomal RNA is filed under the name Vibrio sp. OT157. RNAcentral's name for it is "bacterial SSU rRNA". It matches the Rfam family "Bacterial small subunit ribosomal RNA", at positions 43 to 549 of the family's 1533-position model. The record is from RNAcentral. Lineage: Bacteria; Pseudomonadati; Pseudomonadota; Gammaproteobacteria; Vibrionales; Vibrionaceae.